UGCGUAGGUGGCGCCAUAAGUCGGGUGUGAAAUUUCGGAGCUCAACUCCGAAACUGCAUUCGAUACUGUGGUGCUUGAGGACUGGAGAGGAGACUGGAAUUCACGGUGUAGCAGUGAAAUGCGUAGAGAUCGUGAGGAAGACCAGUGGCGAAGGCGGGUCUCUGGACAGUUCCUGACACUGAGGCACAAGGGCUAGGGGAGGCAAACG
This 208-nucleotide ribosomal RNA is filed under the name uncultured bacterium. Its description in RNAcentral is "partial 16S ribosomal RNA". It matches the Rfam family "Bacterial small subunit ribosomal RNA", at positions 568 to 775 of the family's 1533-position model. The record is from RNAcentral.